UACAGAGGUCUCAAGCGUUGUUCGGAUUCAUUGGGCGUAAAGGGUGCGUAGGCGGCGCGGUAAGUCGGGUGUGAAAUCUCGGAGCUUAACUCCGAAACUGCAUUCGAUACUGCCGUGCUUGAGGACUGGAGAGGAGACUGGAAUUUACGGUGUAGCGGUGAAAUGCGUAGAUAUCUGGAGGAACACCGGUGGCGAAGGCGGCGUUCUGGACUGCAACUGACACUGAAAACGAAAGCCAGGGGAGCAAACGGG
RNAcentral lists this ribosomal RNA (252 nucleotides) under uncultured bacterium. RNAcentral describes it as "partial 16S ribosomal RNA". It matches the Rfam family "Bacterial small subunit ribosomal RNA", at positions 524 to 776 of the family's 1533-position model. The record is from RNAcentral.